UCUCAGUGGUCCAAAUGGUAAAGAAUCUGUCUGUAAUGCAAGAGACCCAGGUUCAAUUCCUGGGGUGGGAA
This 71-nucleotide transfer RNA is filed under the name Ovis aries (sheep). It matches the Rfam family "tRNA". Rfam says of the family: Transfer RNA (tRNA) molecules are approximately 80 nucleotides in length. Lineage: Eukaryota; Metazoa; Chordata; Mammalia; Artiodactyla; Bovidae. The record is from Rfam by way of RNAcentral.